CAGCACCUCAAGUGGUCAGGAUGAUUAUUGGGCCUAAAGCAUCCGUAGCCGGCUCUGUAAGUUUUCGGUUAAAUCUGUACGCUCAACGUACAGGCUGCCGGGAAUACUGCAGAGCUAGGGAGUGGGAGAGGUAGACGGUACUCGGUAGGAAGGGGUAAAAUCCUUUGAUCUAUUGAUGACCACCUGUGGCGAAGGCGGUCUACCAGAACACGUCCGACGGUGAGGGAUGAAAGCUGGGGGAGCAAACCGGAUUAGAGACCCGGGUAGUCC
This 270-nucleotide ribosomal RNA is filed under the name uncultured archaeon. Its description in RNAcentral is "partial 16S ribosomal RNA". It matches the Rfam family "Archaeal small subunit ribosomal RNA", at positions 477 to 747 of the family's 1478-position model. The record is from RNAcentral.